UGAGGCGUAGUGUAAAGGUAGCACGAGUGACUUUGACUCACUUAUUGUAGGUUCGAAUCCCACCGCCUCAGCCA
RNAcentral lists this transfer RNA (74 nucleotides) under Eubacteriales bacterium. RNAcentral describes it as "tRNA-Gln". It matches the Rfam family "tRNA". Rfam says of the family: Transfer RNA (tRNA) molecules are approximately 80 nucleotides in length. The record is from RNAcentral. Lineage: Bacteria; Bacillati; Bacillota; Clostridia; Eubacteriales.